GGCCCCGUCGUCUAGCGGUUUAGGACGCUGCCCUCUCAAGGCGGAGAUCGCCAGUUCGAAUCUGGUCGGGGCUACCA
This 77-nucleotide transfer RNA is filed under the name Slackia piriformis. Its description in RNAcentral is "tRNA-Glu". It matches the Rfam family "tRNA". From Rfam's summary of the family: Transfer RNA (tRNA) molecules are approximately 80 nucleotides in length. Their secondary structure includes four short double-helical elements and three loops (D, anti-codon, and T loops). The record is from RNAcentral. Lineage: Bacteria; Bacillati; Actinomycetota; Coriobacteriia; Eggerthellales; Eggerthellaceae.